This 770-nucleotide ribosomal RNA is filed under the name uncultured fungus. Its description in RNAcentral is "eukaryotic LSU rRNA". The stretch from base 249 to 402 matches the Rfam family "5.8S ribosomal RNA". The record is from RNAcentral. Lineage: Eukaryota; Fungi.
AGUAAAAGUCGUAACAAGGUUUCCGUAGGUGAACCUGCGGAAGGAUCAUUAGCGAAGCUCGGAACGCAUGUUCGGUGUUGAUGCUGCCCAGCAAUGGGACGUGCUCGCUCGGACGUGUGUCCCUUCUCUAUUCCACCCCAUUGUGAACCAAGUGUGCGAGCCGAAGAGAGAUCGGAGGCUCGCAUGCAAACCCUUAACAUACCCCAAUGAAGUAUCAGAAUGUACCUUGCGUUAACUCGCACAAAUAUAACUUUCAACAACGGAUCUCUUGGCUCUCGCAUCGAUGAAGAACGCAGCGAAAUGCGAUAAGUAAUGUGAAUUGCAGAAUUCAGUGAAUCAUCGAAUCUUUGAACGCACCUUGCGCCCCUUGGCAUUCCGAGGGGCACGCCUGUUUGAGUGUCGUGAACUCCUCCACCCUCUACCUUUUCUGAAGGGCAUUGGGCUGGGAUUUGGGAGCAUGCGGGUCCCUGGCCGAUCCGCUCUCCUUGAAUGCAUUAGCGAAGCCCUUGCGGCCUUGGUGUGAUAAUCAUCUACGCCUCGGUUUAGCGAACAUACGGGAAUCGCUUACAGCCGUCUCGCGCGAGACAACGACUACCAACUUUACCUCUUAUCAAGCGGGACUACCCGCUGAACUUAAGCAUAUCAAUAAGCGGAGGAAAAGAAACUAACAAGGAUUCCCCUACUAACUGCGAGUGAAGCGGGAUGAGCUCAAAUUUAAAAUCUGGCGUCUUCGGCGUCCGAGUUGUAAUUUAGAGAAGCGUCUUCCGCGC